RNAcentral lists this transfer RNA (71 nucleotides) under Stereomastis sculpta. RNAcentral describes it as "tRNA-Trp". It matches the Rfam family "tRNA". From Rfam's summary of the family: Transfer RNA (tRNA) molecules are approximately 80 nucleotides in length. Their secondary structure includes four short double-helical elements and three loops (D, anti-codon, and T loops). Lineage: Eukaryota; Metazoa; Arthropoda; Malacostraca; Decapoda; Crangonidae. The record is from RNAcentral.
AAGAUUUUAGGUUAAUAUUAAACCUUCUUCCUUCAAAGUAGAAAAGAAAAGUUAAAAUCUUUUAAAUCUUA